UGGGGAAUUUUGGACAAUGGGGGAAACCCUGAUCCAGCCAUCCCGCGUGUGCGAUGAAGGCCUUCGGGUUGUAAAGCACUUUUGGCAGGAAAGAAACGUCAUGGGUUAAUACCCCGUGAAACUGACGGUACCUGCAGAAUAAGCACCGGCUAACUACGUGCCAGCAGCCGCGGUAAUACGUAGGGUGCAAGCGUUAAUCGGAAUUACUGGGCGUAAAGCGUGCGCAGGCGGUUCGGAAAGAAAGAUGUGAAAUCCCAGAGCUCAACUUUGGAACUGCAUUUUUAACUACCGGGCUAGAGUGUGUCAGAGGGAGGUGGAAUUCCGCGUGUAGCAGUGAAAUGCGUAGAUAUGCGGAGGAACACCGAUGGAGAAGGCAGCCUCCUGGGAUAACACUGACGCUCAUGCAAGAAAGCGUGGGGAGCAAACAGG
This 429-nucleotide ribosomal RNA is filed under the name Acidobacteriota bacterium. Its description in RNAcentral is "Acidobacteria bacterium partial 16S ribosomal RNA". It matches the Rfam family "Bacterial small subunit ribosomal RNA", at positions 355 to 776 of the family's 1533-position model. The record is from RNAcentral. Lineage: Bacteria; Pseudomonadati; Acidobacteriota.